Molecule: ribosomal RNA, 650 nt
Filed under: Streptomyces althioticus
Lineage: Bacteria; Bacillati; Actinomycetota; Actinomycetes; Kitasatosporales; Streptomycetaceae
Description: bacterial SSU rRNA
Rfam family: Bacterial small subunit ribosomal RNA
Source: RNAcentral
GGAUUAGUGGCGAACGGGUGAGUAACACGUGGGCAAUCUGCCCUGCACUCUGGGACAAGCCCUGGAAACGGGGUCUAAUACCGGAUACUGACCAUCUUGGGCAUCUUUGAUGGUCGAAAGCUCCGGCGGUGCAGGAUGAGCCCGCGGCCUAUCAGCUAGUUGGUGAGGUAAUGGCUCACCAAGGCGACGACGGGUAGCCGGCCUGAGAGGGCGACCGGCCACACUGGGACUGAGACACGGCCCAGACUCCUACGGGAGGCAGCAGUGGGGAAUAUUGCACAAUGGGCGAAAGCCUGAUGCAGCGACGCCGCGUGAGGGAUGACGGCCUUCGGGUUGUAAACCUCUUUCAGCAGGGAAGAAGCGAAAGUGACGGUACCUGCAGAAGAAGCGCCGGCUAACUACGUGCCAGCAGCCGCGGUAAUACGUAGGGCGCAAGCGUUGUCCGGAAUUAUUGGGCGUAAAGAGCUCGUAGGCGGCUUGUCACGUCGGUUGUGAAAGCCCGGGGCUUAACCCCGGGUCUGCAGUCGAUACGGGCAGGCUAGAGUUCGGUAGGGGAGAUCGGAAUUCCUGGUGUAGCGGUGAAAUGCGCAGAUAUCAGGAGGAACACCGGUGGCGAAGGCGGAUCUCUGGCCAUAUGCCUAGACAAGUGG